Molecule: unclassified non-coding RNA, 216 nt
Filed under: fungal sp.
Lineage: Eukaryota; Fungi
Description: partial internal transcribed spacer region
Rfam family: Eukaryotic small subunit ribosomal RNA (bases 1-46)
Source: RNAcentral
AAGUCGUAACAAGGUUUCCGUAGGUGAACCUGCGGAAGGAUCAUUCUUGAAAAGCUUCUUAGCUUUCUAACUUGUGAACUGUAAACUGGCUUGGCGCUAACUUGGUUGGCUUAACAGCUAGCCGAGAGCGUCGAGCCGCCCUUCAUGUUAAUUGACUUAACCCGAUUGAAUAACUUUAAAUAAAAACAACUUUUAGCAAUGGAUCUCUAGGCUCUC